AGUUUGAUCCUGGCUCAGGAUGAACGCUAGCUACAGGCUUAACACAUGCAAGUCGAGGGGCAGCAUGGUCUUAGCUUGCUAAGGCCGAUGGCGACCGGCGCACGGGUGAGUAACGCGUAUCCAACCUGCCUUACACUCUUGGACAGCCUUCUGAAAGGGAGAUUAAUACAAGAUGUUAUCAUGAGUAAGCAUUUUCGCAUGAUUAAAGGUUUACCGGUGUAAGAUGGGGAUGCGUUCCAUUAGAUAGUAGGCGGGGUAACGGCCCACCUAGUCUUCGAUGGAUAGGGGUUCUGAGAGGAAGGUCCCCCACAUUGGAACUGAGACACGGUCCAAACUCCUACGGGAGGCAGCAGUGAGGAAUAUUGGUCAAUGGACGAGAGUCUGAACCAGCCAAGUAGCGUGAAGGAUGAAGGUUCUAUGGAUUGUAAACUUCUUUUAUACGGGAAUAAACGGAUCCACGUGUGGAUUUCUGCAUGUACCGUAUGAAUAAGGAUCGGCUAACUCCGUGCCAGCAGCCGCGGUAAUACGGAGGAUCCGAGCGUUAUCCGGAUUUAUUGGGUUUAAAGGGAGCGUAGAUGGGUUGUUAAGUCAGUUGUGAAAGUUUGCGGCUCAACCGUAAAAUUGCAAUUGAUACUGGCAGUCUUGAGUACAGUUGAGGUAGGCGGAAUUCGUGGUGUAGCGGUGAAAUGCUUAGAUAUCACGAAGAACUCCGAUUGCGAAGGCAGCUUACUAACCUGUAACUGACAUUGAUGCUCGAAAGUGUGGGUAUCAAACAGGAUUAGAUACCCUGGUAGUCCACACGGUAAACGAUGAAUACUCGCUGUAGGCGAUAUACGGUCUGCGGCCAAGCGAAAGCAUUAAGUAUUCCACCUGGGGAGUACGCCGGCAACGGUGAAACUCAAAGGAAUUGACGGGGGCCCGCACAAGCGGAGGAACAUGUGGUUUAAUUCGAUGAUACGCGAGGAACCUUACCCGGGCUUAAAUUGCAACCGAAUAUGGCGGAAACGCCAUAGCUAGCAAUAGCGGUUGUGAAGGUGCUGCAUGGUUGUCGUCAGCUCGUGCCGUGAGGUGUCGGCUUAAGUGCCAUAACGAGCGCAACCCUUGCCGAUAGUUACUAACAGGUUAUGCUGAGGACUCUGUCGGGACUGCCAUCGUAAGAUGUGAGGAAGGUGGA
Molecule: ribosomal RNA, 1174 nt
Filed under: uncultured Bacteroides sp.
Lineage: Bacteria; Pseudomonadati; Bacteroidota; Bacteroidia; Bacteroidales; Bacteroidaceae
Description: bacterial SSU rRNA
Rfam family: Bacterial small subunit ribosomal RNA
Source: RNAcentral